UUAUCUACUUCACCCCUUAUCCAGGACUGCCUCAGAUUUUCAACUUCUUCUUCUAGCUCUCUCUUUUUCAGCAGCGCAUCCUGGAGCACCCGACGGAGUCACUGACUUUCGUUCUCCUCCUCUCGAUGCCUCUUCUUCAGGACCUCGGAUUCCACCUCAGCAUCCUUGACGGCCUGCUGCUCACAUGCCAGUUGGAUCUUCAAUUGCUGUAGCUCAGCCGUCCUCUCCCCAAGGGCGACAGAAAACCCUUCUGCAGUUCUUCUUAGGGAUUGGAGUUCAUUGGAAUCCCGAAAGGAAGCGACCUGAGCCCUAUCCGCCAGCUGCCCUUGAAGACGGGCGACUUCAUCGGUCGCCGCCCUG
RNAcentral lists this long non-coding RNA (360 nucleotides) under Elaeis guineensis (African oil palm). RNAcentral describes it as "long non-coding RNA (EGUI_LNC080927)". The record is from RNAcentral. Lineage: Eukaryota; Viridiplantae; Streptophyta; Magnoliopsida; Arecales; Arecaceae.